CUUGUCCCCUAAAUAGGGACUAGUAUGAACGGCUAAAUGAGGAUUAAACUGUCUCUUGUAAUUAACCUAUGAAACUGAUCUUGUAGUCCAAAAGCUACAAUACAAACACCAGACGAGAAGACCCUGUGGAGCUUUUAAACCAAAGCCAAAUAAAUGCCCCUUGGUUUUUAGUUGGGGCAACUUCGGAGCACAAACAAACCUCCGACAAACCACAAGUCGAGACAAACAAGUCAAUACUUAUACCUGACCCAAUAGUCUGACCUAAACUAUUUGACCAAUGAACCAAGUUACCCCAGGGAUAACAGCGCUAUCCUCUUUUAGAGUCCCUAUCGACAAGAGGGCUUACGACCUCGAUGUUGGAUCAGGACACCCCAAUAAUGCAGCCGUUAUUAAAGGUUCGUUUGUUCAACGAUUAAA
RNAcentral lists this ribosomal RNA (417 nucleotides) under Mesalina olivieri. RNAcentral describes it as "partial 16S ribosomal RNA". It matches the Rfam family "Bacterial large subunit ribosomal RNA", at positions 1968 to 2592 of the family's 2925-position model. Lineage: Eukaryota; Metazoa; Chordata; Lepidosauria; Squamata; Lacertidae. The record is from RNAcentral.